AGACGAAGCCCGUGAGUGUAAUAAAGCAAUGCCUUACCUUUCCAUAAAGCUCCAUUUAUUCUCACAACUUCAGAAAUGUGGAUAAGGAUGGUCGUACGAUCAAAGAAAGAACAAUGUCGAUGUUAUCGUCUUGGUUGGCAAGUUGAAGAGAUAUUUGUUCACACAUUCACGUUUCAGUCCUCAGCUGCUUCCCGUGUGUCACCCCUCCAGAUCUGCCAGCAAUAUAAUCUGAACUACAGAGAAGGCAAACGGAAACUCAGGACCGCGCGUGUCAUGCUGCUGCUCGGAACAACGCGCAUCUGUCAACUCUUUACAUCCGUUGUGAUUAGAUGUUUAUUUACGUGGGGAACAGAAAUAACGAGAAGCUGGCAUUCGCAAGGAGAACUUGUAGAAGGAUUGAUAAGAAUGGGACAUGGUCGGCUGCUCAGAUGAAUUGCAGCGAGAAACUGCGGAACAAAGACCAAGUGGCGUCCAGGGCUGGCUGUCUAAGGAACAUUGUGAAAAGGAGCUGAUCCAAUAAAGCAACGGGCGACAGAAGAUGCUGCCACACCUGCUGAAUUCCUCCAGAAUGUUACGUUUUUAAUUCAUCUACAUGGGCUCUGCCGAACAGUUUGUCUGGCUGGGAUGUGCUGGCCUCACACACAGGAACCAGCUGCUUUGCUGUAAUGUCUGUUUUACAACAUAUAAUAUGUUUUGCUCUUUUAAAUACACUCAGCCUUGGAGUUAAUCAGACCCUGAUGAAUAAUUGAUUUUUAGGCUAUUAUCAUUAAUUUAACAGCUUCCUGCUACCUUUGUUGGGAUUAUAGCUGAUACUCUUAAAAGAUUGAGUGAAUACUUUGUGUUGUACGUUGAUCAUAGGUCUGAAACGGACCGAGAAAUCCUGACACGGAUCAAUGUGUUAGUUUCACUGGCCUUGUUCCUGGUGCCAUUCAUUUCGAGUGAUAUGUGUUCACAGAAGGCAAA
This is a long non-coding RNA of Stegostoma tigrinum, 963 nucleotides long. RefSeq lists it as uncharacterized. The transcript has 3 exons. The record is from RefSeq and is a predicted model, not a curated record. NCBI's taxonomy places the organism in Eukaryota, Metazoa, Chordata, Chondrichthyes, Orectolobiformes, Stegostomatidae.